CCUACGGGAGGCAGCAGUGAGGAAUAUUGGUCAAUGGUCGGGAGACUGAACCAGCCAAGCCGCGUGAGGGAUGAAGGUACAGAGUAUCGUAAACCUCUUUUGUCAGGGAACAAAGGCGGGGACGCGUCCCCGGAUGAGUGUACCUGAAGAAAAAGCAUCGGCUAACUCCGUGCCAGCAGCCGCGGUAAUACGUAGGGGGCGAGCGUUAUCCGGAAUUACUGGGUGUAAAGGGAGCGUAGACGGUUAUGUAAGUCAGGUGUGAAAGGCGGCGGCCCAACCCCCGGACUGCUCUGGAAAGUAUGUGACUGGAGUGCAGGAGAGGUGAGCGGAAUUCGUGGUGUAGCGGUGAAAUGCGUAGAUAUUAGGAGGAACACCAGUGGCGAAGGCGGCUCACUGGACUGUAACUGACGUUGAGGCUCGAAAGCGUGGGGAGCAAACAGGAUUAGAUACCCCGGUAGUC
RNAcentral lists this ribosomal RNA (460 nucleotides) under uncultured bacterium. RNAcentral's name for it is "partial 16S ribosomal RNA". It matches the Rfam family "Bacterial small subunit ribosomal RNA", at positions 338 to 795 of the family's 1533-position model. The record is from RNAcentral.